UGCAAGUCGAGCGGAACGAUCCUAGCUUGCUAGGAGGCGUCGAGCGGCGGACGGGUGAGUAACACGUGAGAAUCUGCCCAUUUGUGGGGGAUAACUCGGGGAAACUCGAGCUAAUACCGCAUAAUCCCUACGGGGGAAAGCAGGGGACCUUCGGGCCUUGUGCAGAUGGAUGAGCUCGCGUCGGAUUAGCUUGUUGGUGAGGUAAAAGCUCACCAAGGCGACGAUCCGUAGCUGGUCUGAGAGGAUGAUCAGCCACACCGGGACUGAGACACGGCCCGGACUCCUACGGGAGGCAGCAGUGGGGAAUCUUGGACAAUGGGGGCAACCCUGAUCCAGCCAUGCCGCGUGUGUGAAGAAGGCCUUCGGGUUGUAAAGCACUUUCAGUAGGGAGGAAGGCUUACCGCUAAUAAUGGUGAGUACUUGACGUUACCUACAGAAGAAGCACCGGCUAAUUUCGUGCCAGCAGCCGCGGUAAUACGAAAGGUGCGAGCGUUAAUCGGAAUUACUGGGCGUAAAGCGCGCGUAGGCGGUUUGUUAAGUCAGAUGUGAAAGCCCCGGGCUCAACCUGGGAAUUGCAUUUGAAACUGGCAGGCUAGAAUGCAGUAGAGGGAGGUGGAAUUUCCGGUGUAGCGGUGAAAUGCGUAGAGAUCGGAAGGAACACCAGUGGCGAAGGCGGCCUCCUGGACUGACAUUGACGCUGAGGUGCGAAAGCGUGGGGAGCAAACAGGGUUAGAUACCCUGGUAGUCCACGCCGUAAACGAUGUCUACUAGUCGUUGGGAAUCUUAGUAUUCUUGGUGACGAAGUUAACGCGAUAAGUAGACCGCCUGGGGAGUACGGCCGCAAGGUUAAAACUCAAAUGAAUUGACGGGGGCCCGCACAAGCGGUGGAGCAUGUGUUUAUUCGAUGCACGCGAAGAUCUUACCAGGCUUGACAUCCUUGAACUUUCUAGAGAUAGAUUGUGCUUCGGGAGCCAAGUGACAGUGCUGCAUGGCUGUCGUCAGCUCGUGUCGUGAGAUGUUGGG
Molecule: ribosomal RNA, 1023 nt
Filed under: uncultured bacterium
Lineage: Bacteria
Description: bacterial SSU rRNA
Rfam family: Bacterial small subunit ribosomal RNA
Source: RNAcentral